This 402-nucleotide ribosomal RNA is filed under the name uncultured bacterium. Its description in RNAcentral is "bacterial SSU rRNA". It matches the Rfam family "Bacterial small subunit ribosomal RNA", at positions 28 to 424 of the family's 1533-position model. The record is from RNAcentral.
GAUGAACGCUGGCGGCGCGCCUAACACAUGCAAGUCGAACGAUUAAAGCACCUUCGGGUGUGUAUAAAGUGGCGAACGGCUGAGUAACACGUGGGCAACCUGCCCCUCUCAUUGGGAUAGCCACGGGAAACCGUGGAUAAUACCGAAUACUUCGGGACUUCCGCAUGGAAGGCUCGAGAAAGCUCCGGCGGAGAGGGAUGGGCCCGCGGCCUGUUAGCUUGUUGGUGGGGUAACGGCCUACCAAGGCAAUGAUGGGUAGCUGGGUUGAGAGACCGACCAGCCAGAUUGGGACUGAGACACGGCCCAGACUCCUACGGGAGGCAGCAGUGGGGAAUCUUGCACAAUAGGGCGGAAAGACCUCGAUGCAGCGACGCCGCGUGCGGGAGUGAAGGCCGUUCGGUU